GGGGGAAAAAUUAAUAAGUAUAAUAAAAAUAAAAGAAAUUUUUAAGUUAAAAAUAAAAUAAUGGGGGUUAAAUUAUUUUUAAUAAAAAAAAUUUAUUAUUUUAUAGAUUAUUAGUAUUUUAUAAGAAAUUUGAAAUAAAAUUAAAAAUUUAAUUUAAAAAAAAAAGAAAAUUUAAUUUAUUGUAUCUUGUGUAUCAGAGUUUAUUAAAAAUUAAUUUUAGAAAAAAAAUGUUCUCGAAUUUAAAAGAGCUAAUUAAUUAAAAAAGUUAAUAUAGUAUAAUUAUUUUAAAUAAUUAAUUAGAAAUGAAAUGUUAUUCGUUUUUAAAUAUAUCUAGUUAUUUUAGAAAAAAAUUUAAUUUUAAAUUUAUUUUUUUUUUAAUUUAUUUAAUAAAAUUAAAAAAAAAAUUAAAUUUUAUAUUUUAAGGGAUAAGCUUUAAAUUAAAAAUUUAUAAUUUUAAAUUAAAAAUUAAAAUUUUUAAGAUUUAUAUUGUUUAAAAAUUAAAAUUUAUUAUAAAAAAUUUUAAUUAAAGAUAAGAUUUAAUAAAAUAAAUAUUUAAUUUUAUAUAAAAUAAAAAUUUUUAGUGGGGGAAAAUUUGUUAUAAUGAUAAAAUUAGUAUAAUAUUGAAAUUAUAUGAAAUAAAUUAAUUUAAAAUUAAUUAAAAAGAAUUCGGCAAAAAUAAAUAUUCACUUGUUUAACAAAAACAUGUCUUUUUGAUAAUAAUAUAAAGUCUAAUCUGCCCACUGAUAAAUAUUAAAGGGCUGCAGUAUAUUGACUGUACAAAGGUAGCAUAAUCAAUAGUUUUUUAAUUGAAAACUUGAAUGAAAGAUUUAAUGAAAUAUUAACUGUUUCUUAAUUAUUAUUAAAAUUUUAUUUUUUAGUAAAAAAGCUAAAAUAAAUUUAAAAGACGAGAAGACCCUAUAGAGUUUUAUAUUUAUUAAAAUUUUUAAUUUUAUUUAUAAAUUUAUAUUAAAAAUAAAAUAAAUAUUAUAUUGGGGUGAUAAAAAAAUUAAUUUAACUUUUUUUAAUAAAUAAACAUUAAUAAAUGAAUAAAUGAUCCAUAAUUAAUGAUUAAAAGAAAAAAUUACCUUAGGGAUAACAGCGUAAUAUUUUUUUUUAGUUCAUAUAAGAAAAAAAGUUUGCGACCUCGAUGUUGGAUUAAGAUAAAAUUUAAAUGCAAAAGUUUAAAAUUUUUGAUCUGUUCGAUCAUUAAAAUCUUACAUGAUCUGAGUUCAAACCGGUGUAAGCCAGGUUGGUUUCUAUCUUUAAAUAAAUAAUAUAUUUUAGUACGAAAGGAUCAAAUAUAAAAAAUAAUUUUAUUAAGAAGAAUAUUAGUAAAUAUAUAUAUAUAUUUAUUAUUGUAGAUAAAUAAUUAU
Molecule: ribosomal RNA, 1373 nt
Filed under: Ethope himachala
Lineage: Eukaryota; Metazoa; Arthropoda; Insecta; Lepidoptera; Nymphalidae
Description: 16S ribosomal RNA
Source: RNAcentral